RNAcentral lists this ribosomal RNA (515 nucleotides) under uncultured bacterium. Its description in RNAcentral is "bacterial SSU rRNA". It matches the Rfam family "Bacterial small subunit ribosomal RNA", at positions 19 to 518 of the family's 1533-position model. The record is from RNAcentral.
AUGGCUCAGAUUGAACGCUGGCGGCGUGCUAACACAUGCAAGUCGUGCGAGAAAGGGGCGUCGGUCCCUGAGUAGAGCGGCGCACGGGUGAGUAACGCGUGGAUUAUCUACCCAGAUAUUCGGGAUAACGGCGGGAAACUGCCGCUAAUACCGGAUACGCUCCAAUUUCGGUUGGGGGAAAGGCGGCCUCUGCUUGCAAGCUGUCGUAUCUGGAUGAGUCCGCGUCCCAUUAGCUUGUUGGCGGGGUAACGGCCCACCAAGGCUACGAUGGGUAGCUGGUCUGAGAGGAUGAUCAGCCACACUGGAACUGAAACACGGUCCAGACUCCUACGGGAGGCAGCAGUGGGGAAUAUUGCGCAAUGGGGGAAACCCUGACGCAGCGACGCCGUGUGAGGGAAGAAGGCUUUCGGGUCGUAAACCUCUGUCGGGAGGGAAGAACCUUCCAGGUCUGAACAAGGCCUGGAACUGACGGUACCUCCAAAGGAAGCACCGGCUAACUCCGUGCCAGCAGCUGC